Long non-coding RNA from Stylophora pistillata, 484 nucleotides. Lineage: Eukaryota; Metazoa; Cnidaria; Anthozoa; Scleractinia; Pocilloporidae. The record is from RefSeq and is a predicted model, not a curated record.
UGCAAAUGAAGUAAUUGCAGAAAACAAAACCUGAAGAACUCAGUCUUCGACGGGAAUAGAACCCAGUGCCGGUCUCGGAUACUAGUUGGCCGCUCAGUCUACCAACUAAGCUGCGAAGCCACAAGGUACCAGAACAAGACGAGAUGCUGGAAGAAUAACCCCGACGCUAGACCGACUUUCACUAACUUGAAAAACCAGCUGAAAGACAUGGAAACCUUAUACGAGAGACUGAUCAACAUGGAAAUGUAGGAUAAGCAUUUGUAUGCAAACCUUGAAGAUUUAACAGUAUAGAUGGUAAAGCUUCCUCACUGUCUGAUGGCCUGAAUGUUUGAACGCUUUGCUACUAUAGCUUAUGGAAGCCGGUUUUAUUCCAAGUGGGUUGCCAAAAUGGAAUGACUGCUUUGUGUCGAUUGGCUAUCUCAUCUGGUGGUCAUAAUUAGCAUAAAUUAUCAUAGGUAACGAGAGACCACGAGGUGGAAAUAAA